AUUGAACGCUGGCGGCAGGCUUAACACAUGCCCGUCGAACGAGUGGCGGACGGGUGAGUAAUGCUUGGGAAUCUAGCUUAUGUAGGGGGAUAACUACGGGAAACUGUAGCUAAUACCGCGUACCAUAGGAUGAGCCCAAUUGGGAUUAGGUAGUUGGUGAGGUAAAGGCUCCCCAAGCCGACGAUCUCUAGCUGGUCUGAGAGGUUGACCAGCCACACUUGAAUGGAGACACGGCCCAGACUCCUACGGGAGGCAGCAGUGGGGAAUAUUGCGCAAUGGGGGCAACCUGACGCAGCCAUGCCGCGUGAAUGAAGAAGGCCUUCGGGUUGUAAAGUACUUUCAGUCGGGAGGCGUUACCGACAGAAGAAGCACCGGCUAACUCCGUGCCAGCAGCCGCGGUAAUAC
Molecule: ribosomal RNA, 405 nt
Filed under: uncultured bacterium
Lineage: Bacteria
Description: partial 16S ribosomal RNA
Rfam family: Bacterial small subunit ribosomal RNA
Source: RNAcentral